This 468-nucleotide ribosomal RNA is filed under the name uncultured bacterium. RNAcentral describes it as "partial 16S ribosomal RNA". It matches the Rfam family "Bacterial small subunit ribosomal RNA", at positions 28 to 507 of the family's 1533-position model. The record is from RNAcentral.
GACGAACGCUGGCGGCGUGCUUAACACAUGCAAGUCGAACGGAAAGGCCCUGCUUGUGUGGGGUGCUCGAGUGGCGAACGGGUGAGUAACACGUGAGUAACCUGCCCUUGACUUUGGGAUAACUUCAGGAAACUGGGGCUAAUACCGGAUAGGAGCUCCUGCUGCAUGGUGGGGGUGGGAAAGUUUCGGCGGUUGGGGAUGGACUCGCGGCUUAUCAGCUUGUUGGUGGGGUAGUGGCUUACCAAGGCUUGGACGGGUAGCCGGCCGGAGAGGGUGACCGGCCACCUUGGGACUGAGAUACGGCCCAGACUCCCUCGGGCGGCAGCCGUGGGGAAUAUUGCACGAUGGGCGGAAGCCUGACGCAGCCACCCCGCGUGCGUGAUGACGGCCUUCGGGUUGUACACCGCUUUCGCCUGUGACGAAGCGUGAGUGACGGUAAUGGGUAAGGAAGCCCCGGCUAACUCCGUG